This 115-nucleotide ribosomal RNA is filed under the name Hafnia alvei. The record is from RNAcentral. RNAcentral also lists the same sequence under 1 other name. Lineage: Bacteria; Pseudomonadati; Pseudomonadota; Gammaproteobacteria; Enterobacterales; Hafniaceae.
UGGCGGCGAUAGCGCGGUGGUCCCACCUGACCCCAUGCCGAACUCAGAAGUGAAACGCCGUAGCGCCGAUGGUAGUGUGGGGUCUCCCCAUGCGAGAGUAGGGAACUGCCAGGCU